RNAcentral lists this ribosomal RNA (468 nucleotides) under uncultured bacterium. RNAcentral describes it as "partial 16S ribosomal RNA". It matches the Rfam family "Bacterial small subunit ribosomal RNA", at positions 28 to 507 of the family's 1533-position model. The record is from RNAcentral.
GACGAACGCUGGCGGCGCGCCUAACACAUGCAAGUCGAACGGAGCUGCGAGAAGCUUGCUUUUCUUAGCUUAGUGGCGAACGGGUGAGUAACGCGUGAGUAACCUGCCCUGGAGUGGGGGACAACAGUUGGAAACGACUGCUAAUACCGCAUAAGCCCACGAUCCGGCAUCGGAUUGAGGGAAAAGGAUUUAUUCGCUUCAGGAUGGACUCGCGUCCAAUUAGCUAGUUGGUGAGGUAACGGCCCACCAAGGCGACGAUUGGUAGUCGGACUGAGAGGUUGAACGGCCACAUUGGGACUGAGACACGGCCCAGACUCCUACGGGAGGCAGCAGUGGGGGAUAUUGCACAAUGGGGGAAACCCUGAUGCAGCGACGCCGCGUGGAGGAAGAAGGUUUUCGGAUUGUAAACUCCUGUCGUUAGGGACGAUAAUGACGGUACCUAACAAGAAAGCACCGGCUAACUACGUG